GCCGCGACCUUCAGCGGGUGAGGACGCGCUCUUGGUUCUAGUGCCUCUCGAUCCAUCGUGGCAUAUUGUGACCUUCUGGCCCUUCUAAUUCGCUGAAAAGGAGAAAGUACUAUAUAAUUGCAACGCCCAUUUUUAGGAAAUCAGUUGCAGAGACGCAAACAACAGCAGAAACAA
This is a long non-coding RNA of Penaeus monodon (black tiger shrimp), 174 nucleotides long. RefSeq lists it as uncharacterized. The transcript has 2 exons. Lineage: Eukaryota; Metazoa; Arthropoda; Malacostraca; Decapoda; Penaeidae. The record is from RefSeq and is a predicted model, not a curated record.